RNAcentral lists this ribosomal RNA (484 nucleotides) under uncultured bacterium. Its description in RNAcentral is "partial 16S ribosomal RNA". It matches the Rfam family "Bacterial small subunit ribosomal RNA", at positions 30 to 507 of the family's 1533-position model. The record is from RNAcentral.
AUUGAACGCUGGCGGCAGGCCUAACACAUGCAAGUCGAGCGGAUGAAGGGAGCUUGCUCCUGGAUUCAGCGGCGGACGGGUGAGUAAUGCCUAGGAAUCUGCCUGGUAGUGGGGGAUAACGUCCGGAAACGGGCGCUAAUACCGCAUACGUCCUGAGGGAGAAAGUGGGGGAUCUUCGGACCUCACGCUAUCAGAUGAGCCUAGGUCGGAUUAGCUAGUUGGUGGGGUAAAGGCCUACCAAGGCGACGAUCCGUAACUGGUCUGAGAGGAUGACCAGUCACACUGGAACUGAGACGCGGUCCAGACUCCUACGGGAGGCAGCAGUGGGGAAUAUUGGACAAUGGGCGAAAGCCUGAUCCAGCCAUGCCGCGUGUGUGAAGAAGGUCUUCGGAUUGUAAAGCACUUUAAGUUGGGAGGAAGGGCAGUAAGUUAAUACCUUGCUGUUUUGACGUUACCAACAGAAUAAGCACCGGCUAACUUCGUG